CAUUUUAAUAAAUGUGAGCUUGUCCACGUUGGCCGUGGACAGGCGGCUGCGCUUGCCUGUGAUAACCUCGUGCCGAUCGCACGUCCCUGUGACGGCGACAACACAUUCGGAUGUCUGCCCUAUCAACUUUCGAUGCAAUUUUCCGCGCCUACCAUGGUGACCACGGGUAACGGGGAAUCAGGGUUUGAUUCCAGAGAGGGUGCCUGAGAAACGGCUACCACAUGUAAUUACCCACUCCCGACGCUGGGAGGUAGUGA
Pelobates cultripes (western spadefoot toad) is the source of this 257-nucleotide non-coding RNA. Lineage: Eukaryota; Metazoa; Chordata; Amphibia; Anura; Pelobatidae. The record is from the annotation of a GenBank genome assembly.